UGGGGAAUCUUGGACAAUGGGCGAAAGCCUGAUCCAGCCAUGCCGCGUGUGUGAAGAAGGUCUUCGGAUUGUAAAGCACUUUAAGUUGGGAGGAAGGGUUGUAGAUUAAUACUCUGCAAUUUUGACGUUACCGACAGAAUAAGCACCGGCUAACUCUGUGCCAGCAGCCGCGGUAAUACAGAGGGUGCAAGCGUUAAUCGGAAUUACUGGGCGUAAAGCGCGCGUAGGUGGUUUGUUAAGUUGGAUGUGAAAUCCCCGGGCUCAACCUGGGAACUGCAUCCAAAACUGGCAAGCUAGAGUAUGGUAGAGGGUGGUGGAAUUUCCUGUGUAGCGGUGAAAUGCGUAGAUAUAGGAAGGAACACCAGUGGCGAAGGCGACCACCUGGACUGAUACUGACACUGAGGUGCGAAAGCGUGGGGAGCAAACAGGAUUAGAUACCCCUGUAGUCCCUGAGCGGGCUGGCAAGGCGCAU
RNAcentral lists this ribosomal RNA (472 nucleotides) under uncultured bacterium. RNAcentral's name for it is "bacterial SSU rRNA". It matches the Rfam family "Bacterial small subunit ribosomal RNA", at positions 355 to 825 of the family's 1533-position model. The record is from RNAcentral.